CGGAGCAUGCGGAUUAAUUGGAUNCAACGCGAAGAACCCUUACCAAGGCUUGACAUACACCGGAACCGGCCAGAGAUGAUCGCCCCCUUGUGGUCGGUGUACAGGUGGUGCAUGGUUGUCGUCAGCUCGUGUCGUGAGAUGUUGGGGUAAGUCCCGCAACGAGGGGCAACCAUCGUUGUAUGUUGCCAGCGGGUUAUACCGGGGAAUUAUAGGAGACUGCCGGGGUCAAAUCGGAGGAAGGUGGGGAUGACGUCAAAUCAUCAUGCCCCUUAAGUCUUGGGCUUCAAGCAUGGUACCAUGGCCGGUACCAAGGGCUACGAUUCCGUAAGGUGGAGCGUAUUCCACAAAACCGGUCUCAGUUCGGAUUGAGGUCUGCAACUCGACAUCAUGAAGUCGGAAUCGCUAGUAAUCGCAGAUCAGCAACCCUCGGGGGAAUACGUUCCCGGCCUUGGAACACCCCGCCGUUACACUCAGGGAAUUGGAUUACACC
This 490-nucleotide ribosomal RNA is filed under the name glacial ice bacterium MS-T10-02. RNAcentral's name for it is "bacterial SSU rRNA". It matches the Rfam family "Bacterial small subunit ribosomal RNA", at positions 933 to 1422 of the family's 1533-position model. The record is from RNAcentral.